RNAcentral lists this ribosomal RNA (472 nucleotides) under uncultured bacterium. RNAcentral's name for it is "bacterial SSU rRNA". It matches the Rfam family "Bacterial small subunit ribosomal RNA", at positions 355 to 825 of the family's 1533-position model. The record is from RNAcentral.
UGGGGAAUAUUGGACAAUGGGGGCAACCCUGAUCCAGCCAUGCCGCGUGUGUGAAGAAGGCCCUCGGGUUGUAAGGCACUUUCAGCGAGGAAGAACGCCUAGCGGUUAAUACCCGCUAGGAAAGACAUCACUCGCAGAAGAAGCACCGGCUAACUCCGUGCCAGCAGCCGCGGUAAUACGGAGGGUGCAAGCGUUAAUCGGAAUUACUGGGCGUAAAGCGCGCGUAGGUGGCUUGAUAAGCCGGUUGUGAAAGCCCCGGGCUCAACCUGGGAACGGCAUCCGGAACUGUCAAGCUAGAGUGCAGGAGAGGAAGGUAGAAUUCCCGGUGUAGCGGUGAAAUGCGUAGAGAUCGGGAGGAAUACCAGUGGCGAAGGCGGCCUUCUGGACUGACACUGACACUGAGGUGCGAAAGCGUGGGUAGCAAACAGGAUUAGAUACCCGAGUAGUCCCUGAGCGGGCUGGCAAGGCGCAU